ACAUAGGUCUUGACUAUCAUGUCUAUGCAUAGUGAUUUUAAUAACUUUUUCCCACCCACUAACGUACUGAAGUCAUGCAAAUCAUGACAAACUGUCAAUUUUAAAAAGGGCAUCGAUCAGCUUAUAAGUCCCAACAAAGCAUGAAAUAGACUCUCUAAAGACUGAGUUAGCUAGUUUGCCUGCAUAAUCAAGAAAUGUACUGUGAGAUUGGCAAUGGGGGAGGUGGAUAAGAAGCAUAUUAUUUUCUCUUCUCUUAUGAACUCGUUGGUGUGAAGAACUGGAUGCCUACAUGAUAUUCUGGAAGUUCAUUAAUUUAGUCCACUUUUGCGUCGCAACAAUCUUCAUUGAUAGCUGGGAUUGGUGAAGAAUGAGAGCUAAGGGUUUCCAGACGACAUCAUCGAUCGAGACCCUCAGAUCCGCUGGAGCGACAAACUUCCUUUACCGUUGUCCAGCUUCAUCGUCUUUAUCAUCGUUGCAUCGCAUCAUUUCCGAUCAUCGUUGUCAACUUCAACAUCCCUAGCUCUCAAUCAUUGUCCUUGUCCCUCUCGCCGUAAUUGUCGCUAGCCUAUAGCAAGGACCCCAAUUGCAUCAUUUCGUCAUCGUCGUCGUCGUCAUCAUCAUCAUCAUCGCCGUCGAGAACAUUUUCAUUAUAAUCGUCAUUGUGAUUUUCCCAAAUACCAAGAAGCAUAUAUACGAUAACAUUAUCUAGUAAUUAUCGUCGUCGUCGUCAUCGUCGUCGACGAGAUUUUUAGAAAUACCAUAAAAGAAAGGAACUGGAAUAUAUCGAGGCUGUCCGUAUUUCGACCUCGGAUUAGACAAAAACAGGACCUGCAAAAGUUGGAUUAUCCACGUUAAUCCCCGUAUAUACAUCAUUGCUCAGCAUGAUCUCUUCAACGUACAAAGGUCAAGUGGUCCUGUGCCUCGUCUUCAUCGUCUACGUCAUGAUGUUGAUCAGGACGACGACAUCGACCGAGUUGAUCGAAGACCACGGACGAGAUACCAUGAAAGUGAAGAGAGUGAAGCCUUAUCAGAAGAAACACCCGACCUACCAAGCCUGUUUUGACGCCGUUCGAGGAAAGCGAUGUCUAUGUGAUUCUCGAGUCAACAAGAAUAGCCCAGAUUACUUUGUAUGCUAAAAAAAUAUUACCAAUAUGAAAAUCAUAAGCAGCAGCAGUAACAACAACAACAUCAAUAUCAUCAAAAGAAAAUCCCGAAUGAUGUUUCGAACUAAAUUUCAACAUCAUGCUUUGCACAACUCUGUUUUGGUCAAAAUGCCCUUUGUCAAAGCGAAAUGAUUUUAGACUUUUUGAGAGGCAAAACAUAUCACAUAUUGUGGAAAUAAAUGAGUUGAAUAAUAAACUCCAAAUACAUAUAUAUAUUUAGUUAUGUAUUGUAUACGCAUCGAUUAUCAUAUAAAAAAAAAUCCUCUCCAACAUUGAUAAAACAAAGUUGUGCUGCUUCAAACGUCCACGACAUACUUACAAAAAUGCUGCAACGUCGGCCCUAUAUAUAUAUCUCUAAUACAUUGUUUACUGGUUAUUUGAAGAUUCACCGGCUAUAAUGGUUUUAUUAAAAUAUCCACAUAUCACAGUCAAUUAGGCUUAAUUGUAUUGGGUUUUAAAAAUAUAACAAUUCAAUAAUAGUGGUAUUUUUUAUUUAAUUUUCUAUUCGCAUCCUACUCGUCUAUUUUUAGUGUACACAUUUUUUCGAGAGAAUAUUUCAUCAAAUAUUCUUGUAGAUUUAUCAUAAUUAAGGGAUCAAACGUAGAUAAAAAAAUAUGUAAAUCAUUGUCCAAUGGUGUAUGGAGAAUGUCAUAUUGUAAACUGAAAGGAACUUUAUUAUCUUAUUGUUAUUACAUUAUUAUUACUGAGGUAAUAUCUUCAUGUCAGAUGUGCUUCUAUUAAUUUUCACUGAGAUAAGUACCUCAUUUGCUCAUAUUUGUUAAUCAUGAUAAUUGCAAAUGAAACUUCUGUAAUAAAUUGUGUUCUCUUUCAG
Molecule: long non-coding RNA, 1995 nt
Organism: Lytechinus pictus (painted urchin)
Lineage: Eukaryota; Metazoa; Echinodermata; Echinoidea; Temnopleuroida; Toxopneustidae
Exons: 3
Source: RefSeq, a predicted model, not a curated record